RNAcentral lists this ribosomal RNA (254 nucleotides) under uncultured bacterium. RNAcentral describes it as "partial 16S ribosomal RNA". It matches the Rfam family "Bacterial small subunit ribosomal RNA", at positions 524 to 776 of the family's 1533-position model. The record is from RNAcentral.
CACGUAGGGGGCGAGCGUUGUCCGGAUUUAUUGGGCGUAAAGAGCUCGUCGGCGGUUCGAUAAGUCGGGUGUGAAAACUCUGGGCUCAACUCAGAGACGCCACCCGAUACUGUUGUGACUUGAGUCCGGUAGGGGAGUAUGGAAUUCCCGGUGUAGCGGUGAAAUGCGCAGAUAUCAGGAGGAACACCGGUGGCGAAGGCGGGUCUCUGGGCAGUAACUGACGCUGAGGAGCGAAAGCGUGGGGAGCGAACAGG